This 1425-nucleotide long non-coding RNA is filed under the name Numida meleagris (helmeted guineafowl). RNAcentral describes it as "lncRNA (ENSNMEG00000008618.1)". Lineage: Eukaryota; Metazoa; Chordata; Aves; Galliformes; Numididae. The record is from RNAcentral.
GUUUCAGCAGUUGAAAACACACUUUAACAUGCCACCAGAAAUUACUGCUAGUAGUAUGAUACAUCAUUGAUCUACAGGGCAAUCAAACAAUAAAUAUUUGCCAAGAUAAAAGUGACAAAAUGUUAUGUCCUUCAUUUUAGCAAAAAGAAUCAAGAAAGAGGAAAAAAGUGCAAAAGGCUUUUGGUGAAAUAGUCAGAUGCAAGAUUCACUCAUAGAAUGUGUUCUGCACAAUUAAAAAACACAAUCAAAGUUGUAGAGGAUGAGACAUAUUGCUGAAAGCACCAAGCAUUUUCUUCUGCAUGAAGCAUAUUUCACCAAAUACUUAAUCAACGCAGGUAUUUUACACUUACAUCUAGUCAAAUGUUAUUUUCAAAUAACACAUUAUGUCAAGUAUAUACAUAGUCAAGUAUGUUUAGGCUGUCCUGUGUUCCAGCUCCAAAUAAUAAAUGUCCUUUUCACAGUGGAAAAUUGUUCAUUGUAUUUGGAAGGAACAUUUCAAAUCAUCUUGACAAAGCUCCAUGAAACAGCAAUAGAACUCUACCACCUGAGAAGACACUAGAAUCUCGGACUUUGGAAAUUCUCUUGAGUCUUCAAUCACCUAUCCAUUCCAUAGAACGCACUCAACCUGGAGAUGUUCUACUUUGUAAGAGAAUUUCUGGGAGAAUCCACAGGAAAUUCUGUAAUGUACAGAGAUUCUGAUUUCAUUGGUUCAUUUCAGUGUAUUCCUCAAAUACGUUAAGAAGCCGUAUUUCCUGGCAAAAGAAUUUUUGGAGGCUGAUAUAUAUCAAAGACAGUUCUGCUAGGAAGCUAGUGAAAAGUCAUUUCACACAAAGCAGCUAACAACAUAAAUGGUGUGUUGUAUAAGGAAUAACUCAUGGAUCUACAAGUCCUUCUUUUUUCUUUAAAAAGCUUGUAUUAGGCACCUACCAGGCAAUGAGGGACCACAAAAAAACUCACAACAACAACGUGGCAGGGGAAGCAUUGUAUUAUCAACACUUAAUAUAAUUUGUUAUUUGAAGUAAGCACUUUUUUAGCAUGGAUGUAGAAAGAAGAGUACAGGUGGGUAUCCAGUCAAAACAGCAUCUUUAUGUGUGGAAACACCAAAUCUUUAUCAUGAGUCCUUUAAAGUCUUCCAAAUGUUUGACAGGAGAAAUGGAAAAUCUGUGUCCCAAAGUCCUCUUUCACAUUGGCUUUGUGAUGUACAGUAUGAGACAGUGAGAGGAUUUUCAGGGAAACUUACUAUCCCAUGCAAUUGCAUAGGAAAACAUGAUGAGUUCUUUAAGUUCUUAUAACGGCUGUCUGUUGUACCUAUAUAUCACAACAGUUUCAGAAUUAAAAUGCUAAAAGUAAGGAUUUGUGUACUCAAGGAAGAGGACUGGGAACUUUUAUUUAUAACAGCAGUAAUAAAUAGGCAAAGAUGAUACA